Molecule: long non-coding RNA, 254 nt
Filed under: Ananas comosus (pineapple)
Lineage: Eukaryota; Viridiplantae; Streptophyta; Magnoliopsida; Poales; Bromeliaceae
Description: long non-coding RNA (ACOM_LNC008281)
Source: RNAcentral
UUUUUUUUUUUGUUUUUUUUUUUUUUUUUAUAGAGAUAGAUAACAUGCUAUCAAUUUUAUUUAUUUUAUUUAAAAUUCGUUUUAUUUGUUUUAUUUAAAAAUAAAUAUAGUUGAAAAUAUAAAUUAACAAAAAUUCGAACUUGAAACCUCAGAUACCAAUCAUCAAGUCCUUUGCCACUUACGCUAGAGACGGUCAAUGAAGUGAAUUGAAAUUUUGACAAGUUCCACGAGCAGAAAUCUCCAUUACUUCUACU